UGAUGAUACUCGAAAUUUCAUACGUAAAGAUACUUUUGACUUCCAGUAUGAAUCCAAGAUGGCCGACCCCCCAUAUGAACGUGAGGUACGUGCAAUUGUAAUAGCAUUAAAAUAUUAAUUUAUAAGGUAAUUAACGCGUGAUCUUUCCGCCAAUUAUCGUAGCAUACUAGGCAAAUACGAUAAGGUCAUAAUUUUGUUGCAAUCCGUCGUGUUGACUGUAAUUGAUCUGAUCGUCGAAUCGUAGCUUGACUCGUUAAUGAAGUUACAUGUAACCGAGCAAUUAAAAAUAAUUUGUUGUUAUGUCCACUCGUUAAACGAGUCGCGAAUGUUUUCGUGUUAUGUACAUCCUUGAUAAAUGCGCGAACAUUAAUUCAAACGCGAGUUGCAGUUAUGUAAGGAAGCACGUGUGUCUCGGGAAAACGUGCCACGUGCUGCAACGUAGUUGCCGGCCGUUUACGUGUGGAAAUAUUUAUUUAUCAAACCUUCAGCAUUUUUAAUAUGGAAAUAUUGUUUAAGUUUCGAAAUUGUAUUCAUCUGUUCAUCUGUUCAUCUGUUAAAACAUAAUUUAUAUUUUUCGAGUCUCUAAAUUUGGCGGGAGAACGCCAUGCACCGAAGUUGCGUGCGCAGCUUUUCCAGUAUCGAACGAACAUUUCGAGAUCGCCGCAAUAGUUCAAGUAUCGCAGAAAAAGUUUCGAGACCGGAAGUAACGUUAUUCUUGACGCGGAGUCUUGUCAGUUGCACGUGCCCACGGAAAUUAGCGAUUAAAGUUCGGAAAACGGUCGUUUUAAGUGAAAAUAUUUGUUUAAAUCAUACGAGCAAUGUAUGACAAGCAUGUACAAGUGAAAAGUGUGUGUUUAUUACAUGAAGAUGGAUUAAACAGAUGUGGAAUUCCUCCGCCUGUUCUACCCUGUCUCGAACGCGUCAUUUAUAGGUAAAGAAGAAAAUUACGUUUCCCGAUGACCGGUAAAAUCAUCCAUCCUCGUCUGACCAGUUGGGAGGAACCGAAUCACCCGGAGGCUCGGGCUGCUACACAACACGUUCUUGGUAGAAGUACACCGGCGGCAACGUAAGGAGUACUUGAAGAUUCCAUGAGACAUGGCCCUUGCCUGCGAAUUUAAGAACACGAGGCGUGUACUUCUGACGU
Osmia bicornis bicornis is the source of this 1144-nucleotide RNA transcript. It is a transcript of the gene named caveolin-3-like, with no coding region annotated. The record is from RefSeq and is a predicted model, not a curated record. The transcript has 4 exons. NCBI's taxonomy places the organism in Eukaryota, Metazoa, Arthropoda, Insecta, Hymenoptera, Megachilidae.